Molecule: ribosomal RNA, 490 nt
Filed under: uncultured bacterium
Lineage: Bacteria
Description: partial 16S ribosomal RNA
Rfam family: Bacterial small subunit ribosomal RNA
Source: RNAcentral
AUUGAACGCUGGCGGCAGGCCUAACACAUGCAAGUCGAACGGUAACAGGAAACAGCUUGCUGUUUCGCUGACGAGUGGCGGACGGGUGAGUAAUGUCUGGGAAACUGCCUGAUGGAGGGGGAUAACUACUGGAAACGGUAGCUAAUACCGCAUAACGUCGCAAGCCCAAAGAGGGGGACUUUCGGGCCUCUUGCCAUCGGAUGUGCCCAGAUGGGAUUAGCUAGUAGGUGGGGUAACGGCUCACCUAGGCGACGAUCCCUAGCUGGUCUGAGAGGAUGACCGGCCACACUGGAACUGGGACAGGGUCAAGACUCCUGCGGGAGGGAGCAGUGUGGAAUAGUGCACAAUGGGCGCAAGCCUGAUGCAGUCAUGCCGCGUGUAUGAAGAAGGCCUUCGGGUUGUAAAGUACUUUCAGCGGGGAGGAAGGGAGUAAAGUUAAUACCUUGACUCAUUGACGUUACCCGCAGAAGAAGCACCGGCUAACUCCGUG